Molecule: long non-coding RNA, 481 nt
Filed under: Gossypium raimondii (Peruvian cotton)
Lineage: Eukaryota; Viridiplantae; Streptophyta; Magnoliopsida; Malvales; Malvaceae
Description: long non-coding RNA (GRAI_LNC001732)
Source: RNAcentral
UUUUGGUAACAUUUGUCCAAAGAGCCCACCCUCAACUACAAGACAAGCAUCAUGAAUUGACAAGUAUCUAAAAUAGGCAGAAGACAAAGCCAACAAACAUAGAGUGUUUAGACAUGACCCCAAUCAAACAAGGGCAUCUCAACCAAUCAGGUGAAGAUCAUGCACUUUCAUACAAGGCAACAGCUUGGGAAUAGCAAAAAAAGGAUGAAGGAUGGGUUUGGCUACAAAUGAAGAUAACUAUCUCGCAAAGAUUCAUUCUCAUUGAUCAUCACUUUUAGUCUCUUUGGGGCCUUAUCUCUCAAACUUGAACCUUGAAGAGUGUUUUGAAGAACAAGAUCCGGCACUCCCAUGGUUUGUUUAUUCUUGUAAAUCUCAUUCUCUCGAGUUCAACUAAGAGAGCGUCCCAAAGCAUAAGCUUUGAGAUUCUCAUAUCUCACUUAGUUUUUGUAGAUCAUAAUCUCUUAAAUCCAUUUCAUUAUCU